UAAAAAAAUAAAAUAAAAUGCAUGUUUUUGUUGUUAUGUUCACAAAAGGAUCCCUUCAGGGCCUGUGAGGGUUACGGAAGAAUACCCAAAACAGAGAUUACAGCAACAGGAUGUUUAUUGACAACAACUUAGGAACAGUGAGCAAUAAGGUGAGUAAACUGAGCAAUGAUAUUAAUGUGGAGCUGAUGAGGAAUCUAAUCGCAGUCUUAUCUUACAGGGCCAGGAGAUCGUGGAAAGGCAGAGGGAGGAAUGAAGCUCACACGCACGCCGACGCUUGCUUGUAGGUGAUGGAGGCACAGAAACGAUGGAGGACAAGGAUGAGGAGAACAUGCUGGAGAAUCACAGGAGUCCCCUGAUAGAGUGAACAAAGUUCUCUGCCUUGGCUUGAAGACAGAGACCUUCAUCCUGAGAUAAGGCCAUCAACGCAAACAGUCCCAGAGGCAGCGCUGACUUGUCCCAUCACUGUGCUGCUUGAAACAUCCCGACUUCAUGGUGGAGAAACUACAGGGGGCAGCCAAGCAUCUGGUUAAGAGUUAGAAGAACUGGCAUCGGUGACAGCUUAUCGGGCUGUGACAUCUGAACCAUGCUCAGCGCAAAAUUGUCGAAUGCCAGGGAUGACAUUAUCUGGGUUUCUGCAUGCUUUCCCUUUGCCUGGAGCAUCUGAUGACAUUGUCAGCACAGGUGACCAAUCAGCAGCAUGGGGACCAAGGAAGAAGAAGAUAUCAGACAGCAUUAUCAGCAUUAGGAUGGCUUAAUUCUUUAACUAAGCAGCAACAUAAAUGUCAGAGCAAAAUAAAUAAACAUUAGGUAAAUCUGUUUCAUUUUUAGAUAUUAAAAAAACAUUAUUCAUAAAACAGAAUUGCCUCUGAGCUUCACUGAAUUCUCAAAUACACAGAUUAUGAAAGUUUUAUUACAUUCAGAAUGAAAACCAUGCUUUUGGAUUAAUGUAAUACAAACGAAAAUUUCUUUAAGUCACUCAGUUUUUUUCUUAUAUGACGAUUCAUCAGUAUAAUAGAACUGCAGAGAGAGUAUGUAAUUUAAAUUUAAAUUCAGAUCAAAACUAUCACAAUUAGUUUGACCAUAACUCAACCGUUUUAUUCCUGCCACUUUGUCGCUUUAUUCCAAAAAAGCACUGAAAACUAGACACAGUCUGACACUUCAGAUUUUCAUUUAGAUAAUAGCAUCCCAUCUGGUUGCCGCCACGCCUUCUGUUACUUUCAGUCCUCCCAUCCAACCUCCUUAUCAAUUACAAAGCCACUUUUAAGUCCAAGUUAAUAGGAUGUUAAUGCAUUAUUGGGUCUGUGGCGAUGUGCUAUUGAAGGAAGGGGUGGACAUUAUUGCCCUUGAGCACAAUCUGGGACCAAGACAAGAUCACAUCUUAAUAUAAGCAGAUGAGAGGAGAUUGUUUAAAAGUAGUAGUAUGCACUUUUAUUGUGUGGGGCUGUAUUAUUGUUAUUGAUAAAUUAAGACAUUACCCAUAUAAAAUAUAUUUUGUUUAUUUGAGUGUGGAAAGCAAAACAUAUUACAUCAUAUAUUUAUGUAAUAUGUCAUCUGUUGUUUGCAGUGAUGUCACUACCUUGUUCAUGUUGUAUGAGGCAAAUACCAUGUCCUUAUCUAGGGGGCAAAAUCUCUUCAUCUGCAUGCUGUAAAUUGAAGUAGAUGGAAGACAGGAUUACUUCUUGUGAUAACACAACUCAGUACAAGUGAUAAUUGUAACUUUAAUGCAUAGACAAGUAAUGCUGAGUUCAUUUUCUUUUGUACAGCUUGUACAAGUUAAGUAUUUGUUGGGUAGAUUUUUUAAGUUUUGUAAAUUAGCAAAAUAUGAACAAAACAGCAGUGUUCAUAUAACAUGUCAAC
Cyprinus carpio carpio is the source of this 1857-nucleotide long non-coding RNA. The record is from Ensembl. NCBI's taxonomy places the organism in Eukaryota, Metazoa, Chordata, Actinopteri, Cypriniformes, Cyprinidae.